This 551-nucleotide long non-coding RNA is filed under the name Lathyrus oleraceus (garden pea). RNAcentral describes it as "Pisum sativum (pea) long non-coding RNA (PSAT_LNC023780)". The record is from RNAcentral. Lineage: Eukaryota; Viridiplantae; Streptophyta; Magnoliopsida; Fabales; Fabaceae.
AGAUUUCAAAAUAACAGCAUUUAGCCCCUAACAUAUCCACACUUAACAGCAAAACCAUGGAUUUCAUGCCCCAACGCCUCUCAUUAAAAGCACCACACACUUUGAGUGAGGCAUUAAAAGCACCACACACUUUGAGCACACACGUGAAAAUGGUUCAUUCAAUUAUGUUGUCGAACAAUUUAUCUGCAUCAAGAAAGAUGCCACAUUUUCCGUACAUGUGGAUAAACUUCGUGACUUUUGAGUUUUGAGAAAACAAUCAUGUAACUGUUGGCCUUGAGAAAGAGCUUUUUGGGAAGCGUGAAGGUCAAAAGCUUGAGAAUAAGCUUGUUGAAGAGGGAAACGAUUAUUGAGAAUAAUGGGUUGGUUGAAGUGAGCAUUGUGGCGUGGGUGAUAGUGAUGCAUGGACGAAGAUGAAACAAGUAUCUCAUACAAAUGUGAAGUCAGUAACAUAAGACAAAUAAGAGUGAUGGUGAAAAAAAUAGAUUUUCACAAAAAGAAAGAAUUAGAAGAGAGAACUCGAGAGAACUAGGGUGAGAGAAAAGAGAGAGAGG